UACGUAGGGGGCAAGCGUUGUCCGGAAUCAUUGGGCGUAAAGAGCGUGUAGGCGGCCCAAUAAGUCCGCUGUGAAAGUCCAGGGCUCAACCCUGGGAUGCCGGUGGAUACUGUCGGGCUCGAGUCCGGAAGAGGAGUGUGGAAUUCCUGGUGUAGCGGUGAAAUGCGCAGAUAUCAGGAGGAACACCAAUGGCGAAGGCAGCACUCUGGGACGUGACUGACGCUGAGACGCGAAAGCGUGGGGAGCAAACAGG
Molecule: ribosomal RNA, 253 nt
Filed under: uncultured bacterium
Lineage: Bacteria
Description: partial 16S ribosomal RNA
Rfam family: Bacterial small subunit ribosomal RNA
Source: RNAcentral